CUACGGGGUGCUGCAGUGAGGAAUAUUGCACAAUGGGGGAAACCCUGAUGCAGCAACGCCGCGUGGAGGAUGACGCAUUUCGGUGUGUAAACUCCUUUUAUCAGAGAAGAAAAUGACGGUAUCUGAUGAAUAAGCUCCGGCUAACUCCGUGCCAGCAGCCGCGGUAAUACGGAGGGAGCAAGCGUUAUUCGGAAUCACUGGGCGUAAAGGACGUGUAGGCGGGUUUUUAAGUCAGGUGUGAAAUCCUAUGGCUCAACCAUAGAACUGCACUUGAAACUGGGGACCUAGAGUAUGGAAGGGGCAGGUGGAAUUAGUGGUGUAGGGGUAAGAUCCGUAGAUAUCACUAGGAAUACCGAAAGCGAAGGCGACCUGCUGGGACAUUACUGACGCUGAGGCGUGAAAGCGUGGGGAGCAAACAGGAUUAGAUACCCUUGUAGUC
Molecule: ribosomal RNA, 439 nt
Filed under: uncultured bacterium
Lineage: Bacteria
Description: partial 16S ribosomal RNA
Rfam family: Bacterial small subunit ribosomal RNA
Source: RNAcentral